Podarcis lilfordi (Lilford's wall lizard) is the source of this 90-nucleotide non-coding RNA. The record is from the annotation of a GenBank genome assembly. NCBI's taxonomy places the organism in Eukaryota, Metazoa, Chordata, Lepidosauria, Squamata, Lacertidae.
UGUGUGUGUGUGUGUGUGUGUGUGUGUGUCUGUGUCUGUGUCUGUGUCUGUCUUCCAGCAGGUGCGUGCUCACACACACACACACACACU